GAUGAACGCUGGCGGCGUGCCUAAUACAUUCAAGUCGAGCGAACGGACGAGAAGCUUGCUUCUCUGAUGUUAGCGGCGGACGGGUGAGUAACACGUUGAUAACCUACCUAUAAGACUGGGAUAACUUCGGGAAACCGGAGCUAAUACCGGAUAAUAUUUUGAACCGCAUGGUUCAAUAGUGCAAGACGGUCUUGCUGUCACUUAUAGAUGGAUCCGCGCUGCAUUAGCUAGUUGGUAAGGUAACGGCUUACCAAGGCAACGAUGCAUAGCCGACCUGAGAGGGUGAUCGGCCACACUGGAACUGAGAAACGGUCCAGACUCCUACGGGAGGCAGCAGUAGGGAAUCUUCCGCAAUGGGCGAAAGCCUGACGGAGCAACGCCGCGUGAGUGAUGAAGGUCUUCGGAUCGUAAAACUCUGUUAUUAGGGAAGAACAUAUGUGUAAGUAACUGUGCACAUCUUGACGGUACCUAAUCAGAAAGCCACGGCUAACUACGUG
Molecule: ribosomal RNA, 497 nt
Filed under: uncultured bacterium
Lineage: Bacteria
Description: partial 16S ribosomal RNA
Rfam family: Bacterial small subunit ribosomal RNA
Source: RNAcentral